RNAcentral lists this ribosomal RNA (749 nucleotides) under Hypericum attenuatum. Its description in RNAcentral is "eukaryotic LSU rRNA". The stretch from base 298 to 453 matches the Rfam family "5.8S ribosomal RNA". The record is from RNAcentral. Lineage: Eukaryota; Viridiplantae; Streptophyta; Magnoliopsida; Malpighiales; Hypericaceae.
GAUCCUUCCGUAGGGUGAACCUGCGGAAGGAUCAUUGUCGAAACCUCCAAAUGACCCGCGAACUAGUUAUCCCUGCGAACCUGCGGGGGUGUUGUGGGCUUCUGUCCCGGCGCCCCCGUGCCGGUGGUGGCCAGGCACGCCAAGCUCUUGGCACGCCUGGCCCAUCACCUGCCCAACAAACAAACCCCGGCGCGGCACGCGCCAAGGAACUUUUGCAUCAUAAGAAGUGUAAGGCUCCCGGCUGUGCCGGAAAUCGGACAACACGGUCGGGGGCUUCCUUCUGUUCAUAACAAUAACGACUCUCGGCAACGGAUAUCUAGGCUCUUGCAUCGAUGAAGAACGUAGCGAAAUGCGAUACUUGGUGUGAAUUGCAGAAUCCCGUGAACCAUCGAGUCUUUGAACGCAAGUUGCGCCCGAAGCCUUCUGGCCGAGGGCACGCCUGCCUGGGUGUCACACAUCGUCGCCCCCCAAAAUCCCGAUAUCUCGCCAGAGACAAUCGGGAAGAGGAUGGGCGGAAAAUGGUCUCCCGUGCGCUCCCGUUCGCGGUUGGCCCAAAAAUGAGUUCCUGGCAAAGCAAAGCCACGACCAGCGGUGGUUGUAAGACCCUCGGUACAAGUCGUGAGCCUUGCAUUGCUCGUAGGGACAUGUUGACCCUGAACGUGAUCGAGUAACAUCGAACACUCACAAAGUGACCCCAGGUCAGGCGGGACUACCCGCUGAAUUUAAGCAUAUCAAUAAGCGGGAAGAAA